RNAcentral lists this ribosomal RNA (468 nucleotides) under uncultured bacterium. Its description in RNAcentral is "bacterial SSU rRNA". It matches the Rfam family "Bacterial small subunit ribosomal RNA", at positions 28 to 494 of the family's 1533-position model. The record is from RNAcentral.
GAUGAACGCUGGCGGCGUGCCUAACACAUGCAAGUCGAACGCGAAAAGGGCUUCGGCUCUGAGUAGAGUGGCGAACGGGUGAGUAAUGCAUCGGAACGUGCCAUUGAGUGGGGGAUAACGUAGCGAAAGUUGCGCUAAUACCGCAUAUUCUGUGAGCAGGAAAGCAGGGGACCGCAAGGCCUUGCGCUCUUUGAGCGGCCGAUGUCAGAUUAGCUAGUUGGUGAGGUAACGGCUUACCAAGGCGACGAUCUGUAGCGGGUCUGAGAGGAUGAUCCGCCACACUGGAACUGAGACACGGUCCAGACUCCUACGGGAGGCAGCAGUGGGGAAUAUUGGACAAUGGGCGCAAGCCUGAUCCAGCAAUACCGCGUGUGUGAAGAAGGCCCUAGGGUUGUAAAGCACUUUCAAUGGGGAGGAAAAGAGUAAGCUAAUACCUUGCUUAUUGACAUUACCCAUACAAGAAGCACC